RNAcentral lists this ribosomal RNA (253 nucleotides) under uncultured prokaryote. RNAcentral's name for it is "partial 16S ribosomal RNA". It matches the Rfam family "Bacterial small subunit ribosomal RNA", at positions 524 to 776 of the family's 1533-position model. The record is from RNAcentral.
UACGGAGGGUGCAAACGUUGCUCGGAAUCAUUGGGCGUAAAGCGCACGUAGGCGGUCCCGUAAGUCGGGUGUGAAAUCCCUCGGCUCAACCGAGGAAGUGCAUUCGAAACUACCGGACUUGAGUAUGGAAGAGGGUCGCGGAAUUCCCGGUGUAGAGGUGAAAUUCGUAGAUAUCGGGAGGAACACCAGUGGCGAAGGCGGCGACCUGGGCCAAUACUGACGCUGAGGUGCGAAAGCGUGGGGAGCAAACAGG